UACGUACCGUACGAACGUUAUUCGGAAUUACUGGGCUUAAAGGGUUUGUAGGCGGCUUUGUAAGUCAGGUGUGAAAUCCCUCGGCUCAACCGAGGAAUGGCGCUUGAUACUGCAAGGCUUGAGGGAGACAGGGGUAAGCGGAACUGAUGGUGGAGCGGUGAAAUGCGUUGAUAUCAUCAGGAACACCGGUGGCGUAAGCGGCUUACUGGGUCUCUUCUGACGCUGAGGAACGAAAGCUAGGGGAGCGAACGGG
RNAcentral lists this ribosomal RNA (253 nucleotides) under uncultured bacterium. RNAcentral describes it as "partial 16S ribosomal RNA". It matches the Rfam family "Bacterial small subunit ribosomal RNA", at positions 524 to 776 of the family's 1533-position model. The record is from RNAcentral.